Molecule: ribosomal RNA, 263 nt
Filed under: uncultured bacterium
Lineage: Bacteria
Description: partial 16S ribosomal RNA
Rfam family: Bacterial small subunit ribosomal RNA
Source: RNAcentral
UACGUAGGGGGCAAGCGUUAUCCGGAUUUACUGGGUGUAAAGGGUGCGUAGGUGGCAUGGUAAGUCAGAAGUGAAAACCCGGGGCUCAACCCCGAGGAUUGCUUUUGAAACUAUCAAGCUAGAGUACAGGAGAGGCAAGUGGAAUUCCUAGUGUAGCGGUGAAAUGCGUAGAUAUUAGGAGGAACACCAGUGGCGAAGGCGGCUUGCUGGACUGUAACUGACACUGAGGCACGAAAGCGUGGGGAGCAAACAGGAUUAGAUAC